GACGAACGCUGGCGGCGUGCCUAAUACAUGCAAGUAGAACGCUGAAGAGAGGAGCUUGCUCUUCUUGGAUGAGUUGCGAACGGGUGAGUAACGCGUAUGUAACCUGCCUUGUAGCGGGGGAUAACUAUUGGAAACGAUAGCUAAUACCGCAUAACAAUGGAUGACACAUGUCAUUUAUUUGAAAGGGGCAAUUGCUCCACUACAAGAUGGACCUGCGUUGUAUUAGCUAGUAGGUGAGGUAAUGGCUCACCUAGGCGACGAUACAUAGCCGACCUGAGAGGGUGAUCGGCCACACUGGGACUGAGACACGGCCCAGACGCCUACGGGAGGCAGCAGUAGGGAAUCUUCGGCAAUGGGGGCAACCCUGACCGAGCAACGCCGCGUGAGUGAAGAAGGUUGUCGGAUCGUAAAGCUCUGUUGUAAGUCAAGAACGGGUGUGAGAGUGGAAAGUUCACACUGUGACGGUAGCUUACCAGAAAGGGACGGCUAACUACGUG
RNAcentral lists this ribosomal RNA (497 nucleotides) under uncultured bacterium. RNAcentral's name for it is "partial 16S ribosomal RNA". It matches the Rfam family "Bacterial small subunit ribosomal RNA", at positions 28 to 507 of the family's 1533-position model. The record is from RNAcentral.